ACACAAGUUUUCUUAUCGAUGCUCAAGCAAGGAGGCAAAUGAUAUCUAUUGCCAAGCUAUUGGUGGAUUGGACACGAGGGAAGAAUAUUAGAAAG
Long non-coding RNA from Ipomoea triloba (trilobed morning glory), 95 nucleotides. RefSeq lists it as uncharacterized. NCBI's taxonomy places the organism in Eukaryota, Viridiplantae, Streptophyta, Magnoliopsida, Solanales, Convolvulaceae. The transcript has 2 exons. The record is from RefSeq and is a predicted model, not a curated record.